Oncorhynchus tshawytscha (Chinook salmon) is the source of this 617-nucleotide long non-coding RNA. The record is from Ensembl. Lineage: Eukaryota; Metazoa; Chordata; Actinopteri; Salmoniformes; Salmonidae.
AAGAGAGACAACUGCAGGCCUACUAAUGAAACACAACAACUACUUUUUGGAGUGCCCAUCCCUCCCCCUGGAUUAUCGGUGGCCAGCUAGCGUAAACGGUGAGACUCCUCCUGAAGGUUCAACCACGGGGUUAUGGCCCAGAGGAGAGGUGCUGGGUCCCUGCUAAACACAUCUUGAACCCGGCCCUCAUCGCCGACACCCCGCUCAGCCAGAGGAACUGAGCCCUAGGACCAUGCCUCAGGACUACCUGACAUGAUGACUCCUUGCUGUCCCCAGUCCACCUGGCCGUGCUGCUGCUCCAGUUUCAACUGUUCUGCAUUAUUAUUAUUAUUAUUAUUAUUAUUGGACCAUGCUGGUCAUUUAUGAACAUUUGAACAUCUUGGCCAUGUUCUGUUAUAAUCUCCACCCGGCACAGCCAGAAGAGGACUGGCCACCCCUCAUAGCCUGGUUCCUCUCUAGGUUUCUUCCUAGGUUCUGGCCUUUCUAGGGAGUUUUUCCUAGCCACCGUGCUUCUACACCUGCAUUGCUUGCUGUUUGGGGUUUUAGGCUGGGUUUCUGUACAGCACUUUGAGAUAUCAGCUGAUGUACGAAGGGCUAUAUAAAUAAAUUUGAUCUGA